AAGAAAACAAUCCGAACUCUCCACAGGGAGAACUCGAGGGAACGCGAGAAGCACCGGAGCGACGCGGGAAACCGUGGCGCGGCGGUGGAGUUCUUGUGCUGAUUCCUUCUCAUCUGGAACCUCUUCCCUUUGCUCAGAAGAGAUAGUUUUAUGAUUCACCUGUUCUCCUCUUCCAGAAACUCUGCUAUUCAUUGGAAAUAUGGAGAGUUAUGCUUUCUCUUGGCUUGUGCAGGUUUAUCACCUAAGUAGGGCCUUAUCAUCAUCUACAUCCAACCCAAAGCAUGAUGAAGAGAAUGUGGAAAGGGCACAACAUGACCUUGAAACUGUGCCCCUCGCGUCUGGAACUUUCACAUUCCAUAUCGCACUGCAGGAAAGAGAGAGAAACAUGUGCUCUGGAAGAAGAGUGAACAGCAGCAGUCUCUGCCACACUGGGCUAAUUGUACUGGUGCCUAACAAAUAUCAAUGAUGUGAGAGUAAAUAAGAUAUUGGAUGUAACAGCUUAUUCCUGACCCCUGAAUUUAGUAGGCACCUAAAACAACAAUAUUUACUUUAGGCCACGCUUAUGUGUUUUCAUUUAUCACAUAGGCUGGUAUAAAACAAGAGUAUAAUCAUAGAACCUAAAGUAGGCAAUAGAGCUAUAUAUAGUACAAAAUGUGAAGAUUACUUUGUGAACAUUUUUCUUAUUUGGGUAUUAGGCUGUUUUUUGUGUUCUGAGGCACGUUCAUUAAAUUCACUAAAGACA
Non-coding RNA from Microcebus murinus (gray mouse lemur), 742 nucleotides. Lineage: Eukaryota; Metazoa; Chordata; Mammalia; Primates; Cheirogaleidae. The record is from RefSeq and is a predicted model, not a curated record.